GAACUGAGGGGGGCUGCUCCUAGUACGAGAGGACCGGAGUGGACGCAUCACUGGUGUUCGGGUUGUCAUGCCAAUGGCACUGCCCGGUAGCUAAAUGCGGAAGAGAUAAGUGCUGAAAGCAUCUAAGCACGAAACUUGCCCCGAGAUGAGUUCUCCCUGACUCCUUGAGAGUCCUGAAGGAACGUUGAAGACGACGACGUUGAUAGGCCGGGUGUGUAAGCGCAGCGAUGCGUUGAGCUAACCGGUACUAAUGAACCGUGAGGCUUAACCUUACAACGCCGAAGGUGUUU
RNAcentral lists this ribosomal RNA (290 nucleotides) under Escherichia coli. RNAcentral describes it as "partial 23S ribosomal RNA". It matches the Rfam family "Bacterial large subunit ribosomal RNA", at positions 2659 to 2925 of the family's 2925-position model. The record is from RNAcentral. Lineage: Bacteria; Pseudomonadati; Pseudomonadota; Gammaproteobacteria; Enterobacterales; Enterobacteriaceae.